Molecule: transfer RNA, 72 nt
Filed under: Ovis aries (sheep)
Lineage: Eukaryota; Metazoa; Chordata; Mammalia; Artiodactyla; Bovidae
Rfam family: tRNA
About the family: Transfer RNA (tRNA) molecules are approximately 80 nucleotides in length.
Source: Rfam by way of RNAcentral
UCCCUGAUGGUCCAGUGUUAAGACUCCGCACUCCCAGUGAGGGGGGCCUGGGUUCUAUCCCUGGUUGGGGAA